UACGUAGGGCGCAAGCGUUAUCCGGAAUUAUUGGGCGUAAAGAGCGUGUAGGCGGUCCGGUAAGUCGGCUGUGAAAGUCCAGGGCUCAACCCUGGGAUGCCGGUCGAUACUGCCGGACUAGAGUUCGGAAGAGGCGAGUGGAAUUCCCGGUGUAGCGGUGAAAUGCGCAGAUAUCGGGAGGAACACCUAUGGCGAAGGCAGCUCGCUGGGACGUUACUGACGCUGAGACGCGAAAGCGUGGGGAGCGAACAGG
Molecule: ribosomal RNA, 253 nt
Filed under: uncultured bacterium
Lineage: Bacteria
Description: partial 16S ribosomal RNA
Rfam family: Bacterial small subunit ribosomal RNA
Source: RNAcentral